Molecule: ribosomal RNA, 577 nt
Filed under: uncultured bacterium
Lineage: Bacteria
Description: partial 16S ribosomal RNA
Rfam family: Bacterial small subunit ribosomal RNA
Source: RNAcentral
UGGGGAAUUUUGGACAAUGGGCGAAAGCCUGAUCCAGCAAUGCCGCGUGUGUGAAGAAGGCCUUCGGGUUGUAAAGCACUUUUGUCCGGAAAGAAAUCCUUGGCUCUAAUACAGUCGGGGGAUGACGGUACCGGAAGAAUAAGCACCGGCUAACUACGUGCCAGCAGCCGCGGUAAUACGUAGGGUGCAAGCGUUAAUCGGAAUUACUGGGCGUAAAGCGUGCGCAGGCGGUUUGCUAAGACCGAUGUGAAAUCCCCGGGCUCAACCUGGGAACUGCAUUGGUGACUGGCAGGCUAGAGUAUGGCAGAGGGGGGUAGAAUUCCACGUGUAGCAGUGAAAUGCGUAGAGAUGUGGAGGAAUACCGAUGGCGAAGGCAGCCCCCUGGGCCAAUACUGACGCUCAUGCACGAAAGCGUGGGGGAGCAAACAGGAUUAGAUACCCUGGUAGUCCACGCCCUAAACGAUGUCAACUAGUUGUUGGGGAUUCAUUUCCUUAGUAACGUAGCUAACGCGUGAAGUUGACCGCCUGGGGGAGUACGGUCGCAAGAUUAAAACUCAAAUGAAUUGACGGGGUCAUA